CUGAUGUCUGAUACAUAGGAAAAAGGUGCCCGGGUUCCUUUGAUCACGGAAGUUGAUUUCAGAUCAGAAGGUCAACAGCAACUCGUCUAAUACCCACCCAGUCAGUACAGCCCUUGUGGAGGCUUGAAGAACGUACGUGCGACAAAGGGGCACACAGGAGUUCGUUGUAGGAAUGAGCAGAUGGGUGCCUGGAUUUCAGAAUUUGUUUCUCACUAGGCUCCAAGGGUUUGGGGCCUGAAGAAAGAGAAUUGGCUUAUUCCAGUUCCUACCAAUCCCCCUGAGUAUUUUCUAGAGAUCCUCUUUGGUAAAGACGGGCAGAGAAAGAAGGUUCAGAAUACACACCAGAUGGGCAUUACUCACAAAAAGGGACCUGGACCAUAGGGAGAGCUCUCUCCCACUUUCCUCACUGGUCCUGCUCUGUAGGCUCACCCACAGCAGGGCCCUUUUGGCAGGGAACGCCGGGCUCCUGUGUAUGCGGGGCGUGAACUUUGAGUGGGCACAUCCUCUCAGUUUGUUCAUCUGUAAAGCGGGCGCAGAGCUGCUGGCGGCCAUCUUGCCACUCUGGUCUCCCGCAGAAGGAAGCCGAGGGGAUAGAUGAGGUAAUGAGCCUGAGCCCUGAGACACUAGUGCGCCCACGGAUCAAGCCAUGCCUGAGACCCACUGUGGGACUUUUCAGUGGUGUGAACCAGUCAACUCCCUAAUUUGGCAUGGGCUCUUUUGAGCUGGGUUGUGGUCACAGGAGUCCUGAUUAAUGCAAUCUAUUCGGUAGAUUGCCUUGAACAUCUGAAUUGUGGAUACUCAUCGCGGUUCUGGGGUUCUCAGCUAAGGCAGGGUGGAGUGGGGUGGGGUGAGUAGGGGGUAGGGCCAUGAGCUCACAGGAAAGGGACCUAGAAAAACACAUGUGAGGAAUAGUUGAAGAAACACAGAGGGGGACUCCAGGGAGAUGUGACAGCCUGUUGUCAUGGAGACCCCACAGUGUAGACCACUGGAUGAAGGAUUUUUAGAGCUGGAUUUUAACUCCGCGGGAAGAAAAGUUACCGACUCUCUCGGAUGUGAGGAGGUAAUGAGUUCCCCUCCCCUGUGGGCGUGUAAGACGAAAGUGUCUAACAGGAUGUCAUCAGGGAGAUUCAAGCAGCAGGUGCAGGUUGAACUAGAUACCCUUGACAUUCCUGCUAACCCUGAGCCAUGAUGAAUCUGUUUUCAGGAUGAAGAGGUUAGUGUUUGAAUCAGGUCUUUCUCAUUUGUGACCCAGCUUUUCCAGCAGAGAAAUUAUGUUUAUGAGGGUAGAGUUGCUAUGGAGACAAUUAAAAUGACAGAUUCCGUGCUUAAAGCAAAGAAAUAGAGAUACUGCCUUUAAGAGUAUGGCCCCUGCUUCCCAGCCCCAAAGCCCUGUGCACUUCUCCUGUUACCCAGAGCUUGCACAUAAACUGGGAGACUCCUCGAAAAGGAACUUGGCUCCCAAAGUCCCAGAGUUGGAGGCGAGUUAGAACAGGGGCAGAGUCACCAUCUGGACGCUACCCCCAAGGUUUGCUUUAAGAGGGUGUCGGGAGGCCCAGCUGGGGGUUCUGACUACAGCCUCUCUUCUCCUGGCCAGUUCCCACGCGGUAUGGGGUCCCCAACUCUGGGGCCAGACUCUCUCCUUCUCUCAACCCAGAACCUCUGUUCCUUCUAAAAUAGAGGCGGAGUCUGCCAAUCUCUCCUACAUUCUCCACAGAAAUGACCUUGCCGCGUCUUUCGGCCCUCUUUUUUUUUUUUUUUUUUUUUUUUUUUUUUUGAGAUGUUUAUAAAUCACCACUGUACAUGGCA
This is a long non-coding RNA of Prionailurus viverrinus (fishing cat), 1806 nucleotides long. RefSeq lists it as uncharacterized. The record is from RefSeq and is a predicted model, not a curated record. The transcript has 4 exons. NCBI's taxonomy places the organism in Eukaryota, Metazoa, Chordata, Mammalia, Carnivora, Felidae.